This 522-nucleotide ribosomal RNA is filed under the name Triticum aestivum (bread wheat). Its description in RNAcentral is "partial small subunit ribosomal RNA". Lineage: Eukaryota; Viridiplantae; Streptophyta; Magnoliopsida; Poales; Poaceae. The record is from RNAcentral.
AUGGAAGUUGCUAUCACUCAUACAAUUCCCUCUACAGUCCACCAUUUGUGUAAAUGGCACGUUAUGAAAAGUAUAAAGGAGAAUUUUGGGGCAUUAUAUAAGAAAGGGACCCCAUUCCAAAUUGACUUUAAUCGUCUCACGAAUGAGAUGAUGACUGUCGAUGAGUUCGACCGUGGAUGGGCUUAUCUAAUGGACACCUAUGGACUUGCUGGCAACAGGUACAUGGCACAUAUAUAUGAUUGCUGUGACAAAUGGGCCAAACCCUACCUCAGCUCGAACUUCUGCGCCAAGAUGUGUGGCACGCAACGUAAUGAGUGCAUGAAUAAUGUGCUGAAAAGCUAUGUUUCGCUUUCAGCACCUCUCAACCGUUUUGUGCUGCAGUAUAACAAGCUCAUAGCACAGCGGUGCGAGGAUGAAGACUUUGAGAUGGCACACACAAAGAAGGAUGGUAAGGUCCUCCAUACAAACUUUCCUAUCAAGCGUCGCGCGUCCAAGGUUUACACGCGCUCCUUGUUCAAGUUG